RNAcentral lists this ribosomal RNA (306 nucleotides) under Meyerozyma caribbica. RNAcentral's name for it is "eukaryotic LSU rRNA". It matches the Rfam family "Eukaryotic large subunit ribosomal RNA", at positions 115 to 418 of the family's 3401-position model. The record is from RNAcentral. Lineage: Eukaryota; Fungi; Ascomycota; Pichiomycetes; Serinales; Debaryomycetaceae.
UUGAAAUCUGGCACCUUCGGUGUCCGAGUUGUAAUUUGAAGAUUGUAACCUUGGGGUUGGCUCUUGUCUAUGUUUCUUGGAACAGGACGUCACAGAGGGUGAGAAUCCCGUGCGAUGAGAUGCCCAAUCCUAUGUAAGGUGCUUUCGAAGAGUCGAGUUGUUUGGGAAUGCAGCUCUAAGUGGGUGGUAAAUUCCAUCUAAAGCUAAAUAUUGGCGAGAGACCGAUAGCGAACAAGUACAGUGAUGGAAAGAUGAAAAGAACUUUGAAAAGAGAGUGAAAAAGUACGUGAAAUUGUUGAAAGGGAA